UGUAUGAAACAUUUGGGAACUGCUGAGAUAAAGUAAGCUGCUCCAUUCUGUUGAUUUGAAGGGCUCAAACACUUGACUAUGAGAUCUCAGCUGGAAAUUGCAACUUGCAGCAUGGAGAAGGAGUAGACAUCAUAAAUUACACCUUUAAGUCUUGGUCUUUUAUGAUCUGGUGCUAAGACAGCUGAGGCCACAAAUGGCUCUUGGGUGACUGAAGGCCUCACAGAGAAAAAGAACUGUACUAUGCAUUGACUCUGAGGGAUAAAUGAGAAGAGGUGGAUGUUCUGGAGCAUGUAUGUGAUAUGUCCUGUCUUAAUCAGGAGGGUGGAACUAGAUAAUCUCUAGAGGACCCCAUCAGCUUCAACUCCAGCUACUUUGGAAUUCUGAACUAGGAAAAAAGUUUUUUUAAGAGCAUUACCUACCUCUGUUGAUGCCUGGAUACUCAGAUCACAUGAAAAGCCAAACAAAGACCCUGUGAAUUCACACUGUUUUGAAUAGAGGGCACACUGUGGACUUUGGCUCACUUUAUAAAACCUGUGUGAGGUACAAAGUUACUACACAGCAAAAAUGUUUAUGGCACUUGCUUCUAGCUUGUGUGUACCCUAUAAGAUCUGAGGUGUCUGCAUUUUUUGUUUCAGAAAAUCUGACUGGGAAAGCUUGAAGAUACCCAUAUUAAAAUUUGAUUGUUACCACCUUGCACACUGUGCUUUUUCCCUAAUGAGAUAUAAGGACACUGUACAUGGGGGGUUGGGGGGAACACCAGCUUUACAGAUUUUUGCUUGAUGCAGCUUUAAAGGUAAAUGUCUCAUGGAGAUCUGUAUAGGGAUCAGGCCUAAAUUAAGACAGUGCAGAGAGACAGAAAUUCUGGCAUUAAUCAUAGUACUUUUAUUUAAAUGGUAAGGUGUGAUUUAAUGUAAGUGGUUUUAUUUUUAUUAAUACUAUAUGCUGAAAUUUGAACAGUACUGUACCUAAACAAUUUUACAAAUAUAACACUAAAUACACUGUUUAUUGCUCUUUUUUUUCAUGAACAUAAAACCUGGAAAUGAAUACAAGAAUAAAUAAGGCACCCUACUAAUAUGCUAUUUUUCUGUAUUGUAGUAGCAUGCAAAAAAUUUCAUUUUGCUUUUGCAAGUCACUCUCCUCAUUUUUCUUACUAGAGAAAAAAUAAGAGUUCAUUAUUUGGGCAAGUGCCUGUUUGAAAAGUCAAAACUUGAAACACUUUUUAAUUUUCUUAACUCAACAGUCUACCUUACAAAACAGUUCUUGUAUAGCAUGUCCUAAUUUCUUUUUCUAAAGACAAAAAGUAUUUUUGUUCUUCCUUUGCUGUUACUAGGAAACAUGCCUUGCAAGAGGAGUGUUCACGUACUGCUUGAGACAAAAGACCUGACUUGCUUUUUUUAGCUGCAUUUUCUUCUUGUACUGACCCCGCUCAAAAGAUAAAAAUAAAAAUGCAGAGGCAUCUUUCCUGACUUCUUGUGCGUGGCUAGGCCAAAUCACUGAUCAGCAAAAGAUGGCAGCUCCAGAGAUGCUGCUUAAGGGCCUGUUCUAAAUUUCAGUAUGCCCUAAAUUAGGGCUUCCCAGCAGUUUCAAAAUCCAUUCUGUCCAGCUGUCCUUUCUGCACACCGGCUGUCACUCUGUCAGGGCUCAGGAGAACCGCCAUGCCUCGGCCGCCCUCACAGCUUGUCAGCUGCUAGGGCAGAAGCUGGUU
Long non-coding RNA from Zonotrichia albicollis (white-throated sparrow), 1705 nucleotides. RefSeq lists it as uncharacterized. The record is from RefSeq and is a predicted model, not a curated record. Lineage: Eukaryota; Metazoa; Chordata; Aves; Passeriformes; Passerellidae.